UUUUAAAUGAUGAUUUUCUGUGCUGAUAGUUUCAUUGGUCUCGUUUUGAGACGAAAGAAGCUUCUUUUUAGGAUGACUUCCGAGGCAUUUGUCUGAUAGAAAA
Molecule: small nucleolar RNA, 103 nt
Organism: Uranotaenia lowii
Lineage: Eukaryota; Metazoa; Arthropoda; Insecta; Diptera; Culicidae
Product: small nucleolar RNA Me28S-Am2589
Exons: 1
Source: RefSeq, a predicted model, not a curated record